GGGGGUGCACCGGUUUCGACCUGGGCGGGUACCGCGCAGGGGAAGCGGGCCGACGUCGCCACAUGCGUCGUGAAACAGGUGGCAACCAACAAGCGCCAACACUGAGUUCGCGCUCGCUGCCUAACGAGGCAGCCGUCCGCCGCGGCAGGCCUGCGACCGCGGAUCGGGCGUCGUGAGCAGGCUCACGGCGGCGGCUCCGCCCGGGGGCCGUCGCCGGACACCGAACCCGGGCUGGCCGAGAGGUGCUCCGCCGGCGGGAGCCUCGAGGCGAGAUCGCACCGCCGGCUGCGCCCGGAGAAGCCCUGCCCGGUCGUCCGGGGACGGGGGUUCGACUCCCCCCACCUCCAC
RNAcentral lists this transfer-messenger RNA (348 nucleotides) under bacterium HR12. RNAcentral's name for it is "transfer-messenger RNA, SsrA". It matches the Rfam family "transfer-messenger RNA". Rfam says of the family: Bacterial tmRNA, also known as 10Sa RNA or SsrA, is named for its dual tRNA and mRNA-like properties. The record is from RNAcentral.